Non-coding RNA from Paramuricea clavata, 77 nucleotides. NCBI's taxonomy places the organism in Eukaryota, Metazoa, Cnidaria, Anthozoa, Malacalcyonacea, Plexauridae. The record is from the annotation of a GenBank genome assembly.
GCAUCUGUAGCUCAGUUGGUUAGAGCGCUGCACCGGAAUCGCAGUGCCGCAUGAAGUUCGAUUCCUGCCAGAGUGCC